UAAGCGACUAAGCGUACACGGUGGAUGCCUAGGCAGUCAGAGGCGAUGAAGGGCGUGCUAAUCUGCGAAAAGCGUCGGUAAGCUGAUAUGAAGCGUUAUAACCGACGAUACCCGAAUGGGGAAACCCAGUGCAAUACGUUGCACUAUCGUUAGAUGAAUACAUAGUCUAACGAGGCGAACCGGGGGAACUGAAACAUCUAAGUACCCCGAGGAAAAGAAAUCAACCGAGAUUCCCCCAGUAGCGGCGAGCGAACGGGGAGGAGCCCAGAGUCUGAAUCAGUUUGUGUGUUAGUGGAAGCGUCUGGAAAGUCGCACGGUACAGGGUGAUAGUCCCGUACACCAAAAUGCACAGGCUGUGAACUCGAUGAGUAGGGCGGGACACGUGACAUCCUGUCUGAAUAUGGGGGGACCAUCCUCCAAGGCUAAAUACUCCUGACUGACCGAUAGUGAACCAGUACCGUGAGGGAAAGGCGAAAAGAACCCCGGCGAGGGGAGUGAAAUAGAACCUGAAACCGUGUACGUACAAGCAGUGGGAGCACCUUCGUGGUGUGACUGCGUACCUUUUGUAUAAUGGGUCAGCGACUUAUAUUUUGUAGCAAGGUUAACCGAAUAGGGGAGCCGUAGGGAAACCGAGUCUUAACUGGGCGUCUAGUUGCAAGGUAUAGACCCGAAACCCGGUGAUCUAGCCAUGGGCAGGUUGAAGGUUGGGUAACACUAACUGGAGGACCGAACCGACUAAUGUUGAAAAAUUAGCGGAUGACUUGUGGCUGGGGGUGAAAGGCCAAUCAAACCGGGAGAUAGCUGGUUCUCCCCGAAAGCUAUUUAGGUAGCGCCUCGUGAACUCAUCUUCGGGGGUAGAGCACUGUUUCGGCUAGGGGGCCAUCCCGGCUUACCAAACCGAUGCAAACUCCGAAUACCGAAGAAUGUUAUCACGGGAGACACACGGCGGGUGCUAACGUCCGUCGUGAAGAGGGAAACAACCCAGACCGCCAGCUAAGGUCCCAAAGUCAUGGUUAAGUGGGAAACGAUGUGGGAAGGCACAGACAGCCAGGAUGUUGGCUUAGAAGCAGCCAUCAUUUAAAGAAAGCGUAAUAGCUCACUGGUGGAGUCGGCCUGCGCGGAAGAUGUAACGGGGCUAAACCAUGCACCGAAGCUGCGGCAGCGACACUUAGGUGUUGUUGGGUAGGGGAGCGUUCUGUAAGCCGUUGAAGGUGACCUGUGAGGGUUGCUGGAGGUAUCAGAAGUGCGAAUGCUGACAUAAGUAACGAUAAUGCGGGUGAAAAACCCGCACGCCGGAAGACCAAGGGUUCCUGUCCAACGUUAAUCGGGGCAGGGUGAGUCGACCCCUAAGGCGAGGCUGAAAAGCGUAGUCGAUGGGAAACAGGUUAAUAUUCCUGUACUUGGUGUUACUGCGAAGGGGGACGGAGAAGGCUAGGCUGGCCGGGCGACGGUUGUCCCGGUUUAAGCGUGUAGGGGGAGUGACCAGGUAAAUCCGGUUGCUUAUCAACCCUGAGGCGUGAUGACGAUGCACCACGGUGCAGAAGCAGUUGAUGCCAUGCUUCCAGGAAAAGCCUCUAAGCAUCAGGUAACAUUAAAUCGUACCCCAAACCGACACAGGUGGUCAGGUAGAGAAUACUCAGGCGCUUGAGAGAACUCGGGUGAAGGAACUAGGCAAAAUGGUGCCGUAACUUCGGGAGAAGGCACGCUGGCGUUAGGUGAAAGGACUAGCUCCUGGAGCUGAAGCCAGUCGCAGAUACCAGCUGGCUGCAACUGUUUAAUAAAAACACAGCACUGUGCAAACACGAAAGUGGACGUAUACGGUGUGACGCCUGCCCGGUGCUGGAAGGUUAAUUGAUGGGGUCAGCCGCGAGGCGAAGCUCUUGAUCGAAGCCCCAGUAAACGGCGGCCGUAACUAUAACGGUCCUAAGGUAGCGAAAUUCCUUGUCGGGUAAGUUCCGACCUGCACGAAUGGCGUAAUGAUGGCCAGGCUGUCUCCACCCGAGACUCAGUGAAAUUGAACUCGCUGUGAAGAUGCAGUGUACCCGCGGCAAGACGGAAAGACCCCGUGAACCUUUACUAUAGCUUGACACUGAACAUUGAGCCUUGAUGUGUAGGAUAGGUGGGAGGCCUUGAAGUGUGGACGCCAGUCUGCAUGGAGCCAACCUUGAAAUACCACCCUUUAAUGUUUGAUGUUCUAACUCGGCCCCAUGAUCUGGGGUGAGGACAGUGUCUGGUGGGUAGUUUGACUGGGGCGGUCUCCUCCCAAAGAGUAACGGAGGAGCACGAAGGUUAGCUAAUCACGGUCGGACAUCGUGAGGUUAGUGCAAAGGCAUAAGCUAGCUUGACUGCGAGAGUGACGGCUCGAGCAGGUACGAAAGUAGGUCUUAGUGAUCCGGUGGUUCUGAAUGGAAGGGCCAUCGCUCAACGGAUAAAAGGUACUCCGGGGAUAACAGGCUGAUACCGCCCAAGAGUUCAUAUCGACGGCGGUGUUUGGCACCUCGAUGUCGGCUCAUCACAUCCUGGGGCUGAAGUAGGUCCCAAGGGUAUGGCUGUUCGCCAUUUAAAGUGGUACGCGAGCUGGGUUUAGAACGUCGUGAGACAGUUCGGUCCCUAUCUGCCGUGGGCGUUGGAAGAUUGAGAGGGGCUGCUCCUAGUACGAGAGGACCGGAGUGGACGAAUCACUGGUGUUCGGGUUGUCAUGCCAAUGGCAUUGCCCGGUAGCUAAAUUCGGAAGAGAUAACCGCUGAAAGCAUCUAAGCGGGAAACUUGCCUCGAGAUGAGUCUUCCCUGGGGCUUAAAGCCCCCUGAAGGAACGUUAAAGACUAUGACGUUGAUAGGCUGGGUGUGUAAGUGCAGCGAUGUAUUGAGCUAACCAGUACUAAUGAUCCGUGAGGCUUAACCU
This 2902-nucleotide ribosomal RNA is filed under the name Yersinia pestis 1413. RNAcentral's name for it is "bacterial LSU rRNA". It matches the Rfam family "Bacterial large subunit ribosomal RNA". Lineage: Bacteria; Pseudomonadati; Pseudomonadota; Gammaproteobacteria; Enterobacterales; Yersiniaceae. The record is from RNAcentral.